GACGAACGCUGGCGGCGUGCCUAAUACAUGCAAGUCGAGCGAAUUUACGAGAGCUUGCUCUCGUAAAUUAGCGGCGGACGGGUGAGUAACACGUGGGCAACCUGCCUAUAAGACUGGGAUAACUUCGGGAAACCGGAGCUAAUACCGGAUAAUUCACAUCUACUCAUGUAGGUGUGCUGAAAGACGGUUUACGCUGUCGCUUAUAGAUGGGCCCGCGGCGCAUUAGCUAGUUGGUGAGGUAACGGCUCACCAAGGCCACGAUGCGUAGCCGACCUGAGAGGGUGAUCGGCCACACUGGGACUGAGACACGGCCCAGACUCCUACGGGAGGCAGCAGUAGGGAAUCUUCCGCAAUGGACGAAAGUCUGACGGAGCAACGCCGCGUGAGUGAUGAAGGUUUUCGGAUCGUAAAACUCUGUUGUUAGGGAAGAACAAGUAUCGGAGUAACUGCCGGUACC
This 457-nucleotide ribosomal RNA is filed under the name uncultured bacterium. RNAcentral's name for it is "bacterial SSU rRNA". It matches the Rfam family "Bacterial small subunit ribosomal RNA", at positions 28 to 479 of the family's 1533-position model. The record is from RNAcentral.